AUUGAACGCUGGCGGCAGGCCUAACACAUGCAAGUCGAACGAGUGGCGGACGGGUGAGUAAUGUCUGGGAAACUGCCUGAUGGAGGGGGAUAACUACUGGAAACGGUAGCUAAUACCGCAUACCAUCGGAUGUGCCCAGAUGGGAUUAGCUAGUAGGUGGGGAAAAGGCUCACCUAGGCGACGAUCCCUAGCUGGUCUGAGAGGAUGACCGGCCACACUGAAACUGGAACACGGUCCGGACUCCUACGGAGGGAAGCAGUGGGGAAUAUUGCACAAUGGGGGAAAGCCUGAAGCAGCCAGGCCGCGGGUAUGAAGAGGGCCUUCGGGUUGUAAGGUACUUUCGGCGGGAGGAGUUUACCCGCAGAAGAGGCACCGGCUAACUCCGUGCCAGCAGCGCGGUAAUAC
This 405-nucleotide ribosomal RNA is filed under the name uncultured bacterium. Its description in RNAcentral is "partial 16S ribosomal RNA". It matches the Rfam family "Bacterial small subunit ribosomal RNA", at positions 29 to 526 of the family's 1533-position model. The record is from RNAcentral.